Molecule: ribosomal RNA, 255 nt
Filed under: uncultured bacterium
Lineage: Bacteria
Description: partial 16S ribosomal RNA
Rfam family: Bacterial small subunit ribosomal RNA
Source: RNAcentral
UACAGAGGGUGCGAGCGUUGUCCGGAAUCACUGGGCGUAAAGGGCGCGUAGGUGGCGACCCAAGUCGAUGGUGAAAGCUCGCCGCUCAACGGCGAGUCGGCCACCGAUACUGGGUUGCUGGAGCACUGUAGAGGCUCAUGGAAUUCCGGGUGUAGCGGUGGAAUGCGUAGAGAGUCCGGAAGAACACCGGUGGCGAAGGCGGUGAGCUGGGCAGUUGCUGACACUGAGGCGCGGACAGCGUGGGGAGCAAACAGG